RNAcentral lists this ribosomal RNA (253 nucleotides) under uncultured bacterium. RNAcentral's name for it is "partial 16S ribosomal RNA". It matches the Rfam family "Bacterial small subunit ribosomal RNA", at positions 524 to 776 of the family's 1533-position model. The record is from RNAcentral.
GACGUAGGGCGCGAGCGUUGUCCGGAUUUAUUGGGCGUAAAGAGCUCGUAGGCGGUUUGUCGCGUCUGCUGUGAAAACCCGAGGCUCAACCUCGGGCCUGCAGUGGGUACGGGCAGACUAGAGUGCGGUAGGGGAGAUUGGAAUUCCUGGUGUAGCGGUGGAAUGCGCAGAUAUCAGGAGGAACACCAAUGGCGAAGGCGGGUUGCUGGGCUGACACUGACGCUGAUGCGCGAAAGCCAGGGGAGCGAACGGG